GACGAACGCUGGCGGCGUGCUUAACACAUGCAAGUCGAACGGAAAGGCCCUGCUUUUGUGGGGUGCUCGAGUGGCGAACGGGUGAGUAACACGUGAGUAACCUGCCCUUGACUUUGGGAUAACUUCAGGAAACUGGGGCUAAUACCGGAUAGGAGCUCCUGCUGCAUGGUGGGGGUUGGAAAGUUUCGGCGGUUGGGGAUGGACUCGCGGCUUAUCAGCUUGUUGGUGGGGCAGUGGCUUACCAAGGCUUUGACGGGUAGCCGGCCUGAGAGGGUGACCGGCCACAUUGGGACUGAGAUACGGCCCAGACUCCUACGGGAGGCAGCAGUGGGGAAUAUUGCACAAUGGGCGGAAGCAGGAUGCAGCAACGCCGCGUGCGGGAUGACGGCCUUCGGGUUGUAAACCGCUUUCGCCUGUGACGAAGCGUGAGGGACGGUAAUGGGUAAAGAAGCACCGGCUAACUACGU
Molecule: ribosomal RNA, 467 nt
Filed under: uncultured bacterium
Lineage: Bacteria
Description: partial 16S ribosomal RNA
Rfam family: Bacterial small subunit ribosomal RNA
Source: RNAcentral